ACUCCUACGGGAGGCAGCAGUUAGGAAUAUUCGGGCAAUGGGGGAAAGCCCUCGACCGAGCGACACUGCGUGAAGGAGGAAGGCCUUAGGGUUGUAAACUUCUGAACGAGAGACGAUAAUGACGGUAUCUCGGUAAUAGCACCGGCUAACUCCGUGCCAGCAGCCGCGGUAAUACGGAGGGGUUAGCGUUGUUCGGAAUUACUGGGCGUAAAGCGCGCGUAGGCGGAUUGGAAAGUUGGGGUGAAAUCCCGGGGCUCAACCCCGGAACGGCCUCCAAAACUCCCAGUCUUGA
RNAcentral lists this ribosomal RNA (292 nucleotides) under uncultured bacterium. RNAcentral describes it as "partial 16S ribosomal RNA". It matches the Rfam family "Bacterial small subunit ribosomal RNA", at positions 335 to 645 of the family's 1533-position model. The record is from RNAcentral.